This 920-nucleotide ribosomal RNA is filed under the name Bacteroidetes bacterium enrichment culture clone L55B-120. Its description in RNAcentral is "bacterial SSU rRNA". It matches the Rfam family "Bacterial small subunit ribosomal RNA", at positions 8 to 914 of the family's 1533-position model. The record is from RNAcentral. Lineage: Bacteria; Pseudomonadati; Bacteroidota.
AGAGUUUGAUCAUGGCUCAGGAUGAACGCUAGCGGCAGGCUUAAUACAUGCAAGUUGAGGGGCAGCAUGAUAUACGCGAGUAUAUUGAUGGCGACCGGCGGACGGGUGAGUAAAAGGUAGGAGACCUACCUCAUACAGGGGGAUAGCAUAGAGAAAUCUGUGGUAAUACCCCAUGAGGUUAUAUGAAUAGAGGCAUAUAAUCAAAGUAUACGAGAGUAUGCGGUAUGAGAUGGGCCUACUGACCAUUAGCUAGUUGGUGAGGUAAGGGCUCACCAAGGCGAAGAUGGUUAGGGGUUUUGAGAGAGAGAUCCCCCACAUUGGAACUGAGAUACGGUCCAGACUCCUACGGGAGGCAGCAGUAGGGAAUAUUGGGCAAUGGGCGGAAGCCUGACCCAGCCAUGCCGCGUGAAGGAAGACGGCCUUAUGGGUUGUAAACUUCUUUACUAUACGAAUAGAGGUUAGUACGAGAUACUAAUAGGAAGGUAGUAUAGCAAAAAGCACCGGCUAACUCCGUGCCAGCAGCCGCGGUAAUACGGAGGGUGCAAGCGUUAUUCGGAAUUACUGGGUUUAAAGGGUGCGUAGGCGGUUAUAUAAGUUGUCAGUGAAAGGCUACGGCUCAACUGUAGUAGUGCUGGCGAUACUGUAUAGCUAAGAACAUGGGAGGGGUACCUGGAAUGUGUGGUGUAGCGGUGAAAUGCAUAGAUAUCACACAGAACACCGGAGGCGAAGGCGGGGUACUAGACCAUAGUUGACGCUGAGGCACGAAAGCGUGGGGAGCAAACAGGAUUAGAUACCCUGGUAGUCCACGCCCUAAACGAUGAUCACUAGAUAUUGGCGACAGACAGUCAGUGUCCAAGCGAAAGUGAUAAGUGAUCCACCUGGGGAAUACGGCCGCAAGGUUAAAACUCAAAUGAAUUGAC